UACAGAGGUGGCAAGCGUUGUUCGGAAUUACUGGGCGUAAAGGGCGCGUAGGCGGCCAUCUAAGUCAGACGUGAAAUCCCCCGGCUUAACCUGGGAACUGCGUCUGAUACUGGACGGCUUGAGUGCGGGAGAGGGAUGUGGAAUUCCAGGUGUAGCGGUGAAAUGCGUAGAUAUCUGGAGGAACAUCAGUGGCGAAGGCGGCUACCUGGCCCAAUACUGACACUCAGGUGCGACAGCGUGGGGAGCAAACAGG
This 253-nucleotide ribosomal RNA is filed under the name uncultured bacterium. Its description in RNAcentral is "partial 16S ribosomal RNA". It matches the Rfam family "Bacterial small subunit ribosomal RNA", at positions 524 to 776 of the family's 1533-position model. The record is from RNAcentral.